GAUUCCCUGGCAGCAGGAAUCAGGCAAAUUCCGGAAAAAGACACCAAUCUUAUUUAUCUACAAUACCCAAAACUAGUAAAUUGUAAUAAACAAAUGAAUUAGUACAUAAAAUAUUUCCCACGAGAAUCAUUUCCUCCUGCUUAAAGCCACAAAAUUUUUUGUUGGGAUUAAAAAAAUAUGAACCUCAAAAAUAUCAUAACAAAACAAUCAAACAAUUUAACCUGCCAAAGCAUG
Molecule: long non-coding RNA, 234 nt
Filed under: Durio zibethinus
Lineage: Eukaryota; Viridiplantae; Streptophyta; Magnoliopsida; Malvales; Malvaceae
Description: long non-coding RNA (DZIB_LNC001825)
Source: RNAcentral